UGGGGAAUUUUGGACAAUGGGGGAAACCCUGAUCCAGCCAUCCCGCGUGUGCGAUGAAGGCCUUCGGGUUGUAAAGCACUUUUGGCAGGAAAGAAACGUCAUGGGUUAAUACCCCGUGAAACUGACGGUACCUGCAGAAUAAGCACCGGCGAACUACGUGCCAGCAGCCGCGGUAAUACGUAGGGUGCAAGCGUUAAUCGGAAUUACUGGGCGUAAAGCGUGCGCAGGCGGUUCGGAAAGAAAGAUGUGAAAUCCCAGAGCUCAACUUUGGAACUGCAUUUUUAACUACCGGGCUAGAGUGUGUCAGAGGGAGGUGGAAUUCCGCGUGUAGCAGUGAAAUGCGUAGAUAUGCGGAGGAACACCGAUGGCGAAGGCAGCCUCCUGGGAUAACACUGACGCUCAUGCACGAAAGCGUGGGGAGCAAACAGG
Molecule: ribosomal RNA, 429 nt
Filed under: Acidobacteriota bacterium
Lineage: Bacteria; Pseudomonadati; Acidobacteriota
Description: Acidobacteria bacterium partial 16S ribosomal RNA
Rfam family: Bacterial small subunit ribosomal RNA
Source: RNAcentral